Papaver somniferum (opium poppy) is the source of this 1075-nucleotide long non-coding RNA. RefSeq lists it as uncharacterized. The transcript has 3 exons. The record is from RefSeq and is a predicted model, not a curated record. Lineage: Eukaryota; Viridiplantae; Streptophyta; Magnoliopsida; Ranunculales; Papaveraceae.
CUGUCUCUUAUUUCCCCCAAUCUCAAAACCCUAAAAUUACCUGGAUCAGUCCAGCGAAGUUGAAUGGUGAUAAUGAGAGGUUUGGCCAUAAAAAUGUAACUCAAACUCUAGUUGCUGAAGUUAAAUGGGUCUAUUUUUUGGGUGGGAAUCUGGUGAUGGAGGAAGGAACCCUCACAUGCACUGGAACCACAGUCACAUUACGAUUUCUUCUUGUUAUACAAAAUUAAAACUUCAUUUCUUUCUUAAUUUCUUUCUUUGUCUGGCUCUUUUUUUGCCUUAAAUUUAGGGUUUAUUCGGUAAGAUUUAGGGCUUGCUUGUCUCUGUCUGCUUUGAUUAUUUUGUUGUUUACCACUGCUGCUGCCAGAGGAAGAGGUUCAAGGGGUCGUGGUGAUGCAGCGACACCAACUGGUGUUAGAGGAAGGGGUUCAACAGAUGGUGGUGCUACAGGAAGAUGUUCAACGGGUGGUGGACCUAGUGGUGCUGCUAGAACUAUAUUCCAUAUAUGUAGCUUUAACAGCUAUGGGCACUAAUUGGGUGCAUAAACAUUCCCAGCCGGAAGUCUCAUCUCAAAUGAUACAAGAGCAUUAGGGUCACAUAAGGCUCUAGCAGUUUUCCUGGAAGGUAGCUCAAGAGAUGUGAUAGUAAAGCGCUUUAUAACUCAUAAAGAGCUUCAAUGUACAAUGAUACCGAGACAAAAGGAAAAACUUUGCGAGAGUAAGGCAGAACCUUAUUCAUUUCGUUUCUUAAUCAGAUGGAAAUCAGUGUUCACGAUGCUAGUUGAGUUCACCAAUGAUCAAACUCCGAGCUAAGUUAUCUUAAGCUGUUCUCGCUCCUAAAAUCAUAUACAUUAGCCGGUUCACAGGCUCAAACUGGAUGUUGUUACUAGUGUAGAAGUUCCUUUCUAGUUUCAAGUCUGGCUUUUGUGUUGAUUAGAGUCUUGUCUUUUUUCUGUGCAUCAGUUAAUAUGCUGAAUUUUCUUCAGAGUCUAACGGGCUGUUUUCUGAACAGUUGGUUCCUCUUCUUCUUUUUUGAGUUUUGAGGGAGUCCCAAUUUAUACGUAUGGUUUCCAUCCUUU